ACGUAGGUGGCAAGCGUUGUCCGGAUUUACUGGGUGUAAAGGGCGCGUAGGCGGGAUAGCAAGUCAGGUGUGAAAUCCGGGGGCUUAACCCUCGAACUGCACUUGAAACUGUUAUUCUUGAGUGAUGGAGAGGCAAGCGGAAUUCCUAGUGUAGCGGUGAAAUGCGUAGAUAUUAGGAGGAACACCAGUGGCGAAGGCGGCUUGCUGGACAUUAACUGACGCUGAGGCGCGAAAGCGUGGGGAGCAAACAG
RNAcentral lists this ribosomal RNA (251 nucleotides) under uncultured prokaryote. RNAcentral describes it as "partial 16S rRNA". It matches the Rfam family "Bacterial small subunit ribosomal RNA", at positions 525 to 775 of the family's 1533-position model. The record is from RNAcentral.